This 85-nucleotide transfer RNA is filed under the name Candidatus Kerfeldbacteria bacterium. Its description in RNAcentral is "tRNA-Leu". It matches the Rfam family "tRNA". From Rfam's summary of the family: Transfer RNA (tRNA) molecules are approximately 80 nucleotides in length. The record is from RNAcentral. Lineage: Bacteria; Candidatus Kerfeldiibacteriota.
GCCGACGUGGCGGAAUUGGUAUACGCGCAUGGCUUAGGACCAUGUUCCGAAAGGAUUGAGAGUUCGAGUCUCUCCGUCGGCACAA